AUUGAACGCUGGCGGAAUGCUUUACACAUGCAAGUCGAACGGCAGCACGGACUUCGGUCUGGUGGCGAGUGGCGAACGGGUGAGUAACAUAUCGGAACGUAUCCAAUAAUGGGGGAUAACGAGUCGAAAGAUUCGCUAAUACCGCAUACGCCCUACGAGGGAAAGCUGGGGACCUUCGGGCCUGGCGUUAAUGGAGCGGCCGAUAUCUGAUUAGCUAGUUGGUGAGGUAAAGGCUCACCAAGGCGACGAUCAGUAGCUGGUCUGAGAGGACGACCAGCCACACUGGAACUGAGACACGGUCCAGACUCCUACGGGAGGCAGCAGUGGGGAAUUUUGGACAAUGGGCGCAAGCCUGAUCCAGCCAUUCCGCGUGAGUGAAGAAGGCCUUCGGGUCGUAAAGCUCUUUCGCAAGGGAAGAAAACUUAGCCACUAACAUUGGUUGAGGUUGACGGUACCUUGAUAAGAAGCACCGGCUAACUACGUGCCAGCCGCCGCGGUAA
RNAcentral lists this ribosomal RNA (500 nucleotides) under uncultured bacterium. RNAcentral's name for it is "partial 16S ribosomal RNA". It matches the Rfam family "Bacterial small subunit ribosomal RNA", at positions 30 to 523 of the family's 1533-position model. The record is from RNAcentral.